Long non-coding RNA from Drosophila pseudoobscura, 1950 nucleotides. RefSeq lists it as uncharacterized. The record is from RefSeq and is a predicted model, not a curated record. NCBI's taxonomy places the organism in Eukaryota, Metazoa, Arthropoda, Insecta, Diptera, Drosophilidae. The transcript has 2 exons.
AAAUCCAUAACGUGUAUAAAAAAUACUACAAAAUUUUAAAAGUACUAAUGUAUAUGAAAGCUGCAAGGUGUGUGACCUAGAGAGGGAACUGUUGAGGAAAACUUUUGAAUAACUUGUUAAUUUCCUUGCGGCCAUUCAAGAACCUCAAAAGAAAACAAACAGAACAGAAAGUUUAAAAAAGAUACAAUCAAAUAUAUUGUUUAGAACGUAGUGGGUCUUUUUCACGUACAAAAGCAAAUGCGCUGCUGGGAUAACUGGUUCAUAAUGACGCGGAGCGAGCCAAAAGCCAGAAUUGAAGAAAGGAGCGUUCGCAACAAAUUCGUUUCUACAUUUUCUCUGCAUAGGCUGACACAUCGAUAUGCUGUAUGGUUAGUGCUCGUGCCUAAGAAAUACCGUUUCUAGUUUAAAUCGGUAUUUCUUUUUUUUUUGCUUACAUAGAACAGAAAAUGUGGCCGGCCACACUGGCAAGAUUUCUUAUCGAACCCACACGAAUAUCAUCCCUGAUUUCACGGUAUAUUGAGUUGAAGGUAUAUUUGCAGGGUGAACGCAAAUCGCUAUAUAACGGUAUAUUUAAGAUAGUAACACUUUCCACACAUUUUCGAGACGGCAUUAAGUAGGGGGAACCCCCGUCAUCAGCAGGUUAUAAAUAUAAAGAAAUGCGAGCAAAGAUAUUAAACGAUAGUACAAAUAUGAGUCUCAACCUGAUACAAAAACAUGGCUCUGCAGAGGUAAAAAUUCAGUUGUUUUGCUGGCCGCUAGAACCAAAAUUUGAGCUGUUGCACGUUUGUAUUUGCAUACAACAAAAGAAUACAACACAAAACAGAUUAACACAAGAACAGCCCAAAAUAGAGCACAAAAUGAAGUCAAUUAAUAGCUUGUUGCCCUUGGAUUGUGUCAGCUGCAGAAGAUCACGGAUUUCCUUGAGAAUGUGCCACAGCCUGUGCCGUUUUUUAAGAUGCGGAAGAAAGAAAUAGAGAGGGUCGGGGAUCCGGUGGCUUCUUGCUUUUUGGAUAAACUCUCUGUAAGAGAUAAGCAGGAGAGCCAAAUUCUGAAGAUACUUUCUGCACGUAGACAUGAAAUCCAGUCCAUGCAGGCCUGCCGGAAUCGGAAUACGCUGCUCGCGGCAUAUGCCCAGCAACUGGUGGACAGAGAGGUGCGCAGAGGUCCUUGAGCAGCUUCGGUUCUCGGCCAGCGUCUGCUGUUGCUCCCCAUUGACCGACUGGAAGCAGGAUAUGACCUUUCCGAAUGCCUCCUCUUCAAGUGCCGUCAAGUUCGCGAACAUGAGUCUGUUGCCGUGCAGUAGGAAGUCGAUCCACUCUUGGAAAGUGAUCAGUCGCAGCUGGAAUGGGAGGCACUGCAAGAAAGAUUGGUGGAAAGGUGAAGCCUGUGGGGUGGAUUUUGCAGCAUUUCACCAUUGAAUCUCCACUCUGAGAAUCAAGGCGGUGGUUCUCGUCUAGCCGCUUGAGGAAUAUCUUGCUCAGCUUAAGAUUUAUCUGGGGAUACUGACUCACUGGCACAUAGUGCCCAAACGUCCUUUGUCAAUCAUCUAAUAAUGCACUGUGAACAAUUUCGUAGUCAAUUAAUGGACAGCCAACAGACCAAAAAACAGAAUAAUCUUACGAUACUACGAACAUACAUACAUACAUACAUACACAUGUACAUGUCAGGCAGUGCUGCCAAAAAACGUAAAUAAUGGUGUCAACAAUUUUGUAUUAAAGUGAUAUUUAAUAUGUAUUUAAUAGUAUUUUAUUCACUCAUCCAGCUCUGUGGGGCUAGCUUCUGAUUCGCAUUCAUACGACAUGGUCGUACCAAUUAUGCGUAGGUAAUUACUAUGUGGUACUCCGUAGUCAAAACAGCAUUUUCCAAGUCGUCACAAGCAAUACCUGUAUAUUUAAAUAAAAACUAGUAAUAUCCUUUGACUGACAAUAAAACUUUACCUUAUGCACAGAA